AAACACCAGUACCAGCACAUUCUCUUUUAGCAUUAGAGCCACUGAGAAAAACAGCUCUCUUGCCUGAACCAUACUGUGAUUGCUGAUGGUCUUGGUGUGGGUGCUGAUUUGAUCGCACUUGAAGAGGAGGCCAAGCAGACUGAGGAAGACCCAGAGGACGCAUACAUCUCUCAUUUUCAUAGCCCAUAAUGCGAAUGCUUCUCCCUGUCUUCUGGAUUUGGUACUGUUGCUGGUGCUGAUGCUCAUCUUGCCAGCCUUCCUUCACUUGCUGCCUUCCCCAAACUGCGGGGCACAAGGGCUUUGGCACUUGUUCUUGCUUCAAUUGAUACUGAUUCAACCCCCAAAUACUGUGACCAAAACUAUGGCUCGACAAAAACCCAGUACUCCUAUUUUCCCCUACAGUUUCUGGAUUUUGGCCCCUUGCAGGACCCAGC
RNAcentral lists this unclassified non-coding RNA (434 nucleotides) under Hevea brasiliensis (rubber tree). The record is from RNAcentral. Lineage: Eukaryota; Viridiplantae; Streptophyta; Magnoliopsida; Malpighiales; Euphorbiaceae.